GACGAACGCUGGCGGCGUGCUUAACACAUGCAAGUCGAACGGAAAGGCCCUGCUUUUGUGGGGUGCUCGAGUGGCGAACGGGUGAGUAACACGUGAGUAACCUGCCCUUGACUUUGGGAUAACUUCAGGAAACUGGGGCUAAUACCGGAUAGGAGCUCCUGCUGCAUGGUGGGGGUUGGAAAGUUUCGGCGGUUGGGGAUGGACUCGCGGCUUAUCAGCUUGUUGGUGGGGUAGUGGCUUACCAAGGCUUUGACGGGUAGCCGGCCUGAGAGGGUGACCGGCCACAUUGGGACUGAGAUACGGCCCAGACUCCAACGGGAGGCAGCAGUGGGGAAUAUUGCACAAUGGGCGGAAGCCUGAUGCAGCCACGCCGCGUGCGGGAUGACGGGCUUCGGGUUGUAAACCGCUUUCGCCUGUGACGAAGCGUGAGUGACGGUAAUGGGUAAAGAAGCACCGGCUAACUACGUG
RNAcentral lists this ribosomal RNA (468 nucleotides) under uncultured bacterium. Its description in RNAcentral is "partial 16S ribosomal RNA". It matches the Rfam family "Bacterial small subunit ribosomal RNA", at positions 28 to 507 of the family's 1533-position model. The record is from RNAcentral.